RNAcentral lists this long non-coding RNA (806 nucleotides) under Cavia porcellus (domestic guinea pig). RNAcentral describes it as "lncRNA (ENSCPOG00000032959.1)". The record is from RNAcentral. Lineage: Eukaryota; Metazoa; Chordata; Mammalia; Rodentia; Caviidae.
GUGUUGAUUCAUAGAGAUCUUUGAUCGAAUUCAGGUCCUCUUCCUGUGCUUCUUGGUGCAAUUCAGCACUAUUUUCAAUGAUUCUUCUAACAAUUACACUCACUGUAUCUUAUAGAACUUGAAGUGCUGCGAGUUUUGAAAUGGAACAUUAUUCUAUAUACCUCUAAGAAGGUUCAACAAAACAAGUUAAGGUGGGGAAUUAUCAAGACUCCUCCAGCAAAGCCAGCCAACCAAUGAAAGGGCUGGUAAGAAAUGAACCCAACACAUAGAAAUGGACAUCAAUAAAAUCUUCCAGUGAUGGCCUGAUGGAAGGAGAAAUAGAAGAGUCUUCCAGCAACUGGAACCAGGAGAUGAUCAUGUGGCAGUCUUUGAUGCUUCUCUACUGCCAUCAGAGCUUCCUUUCCUGUUUUUACCCAAGACUGAGUGAGUGAAUGAAUGAAGUAGUAUGAAUCAUCCUUCCAAAAGACUGAACUUGGAUCUGUUGCCAAGAAGACCAGAUUCUAUGACGUGUUUUUAACCUCGUGAUCACAGAAGCCCUUCUCCAAGGAGUGGGGAGAGACAAAGAUGGUGUCUUCAUGGAAGGAUGUCCAGAGUGCAUCCUGGCCUUGAGGACAUGAGACACACGACUUCCACAGCAGUAUUGAUCCCAUCCUAUCAUUUUCCACAGUCUGAGGGACUCAUGCCUCAUGUGGCUUGAGGCUAUAUAAACAGUAGCAUGAUCUAGGAAUCACUUCUUCCCAUGCAGAUUUUGGAUUUUUUUCCUGUAGUCCUGGGGAUUGAAACCAAGGUCUCACACUGAACUUUUU